Long non-coding RNA from Scylla paramamosain (green mud crab), 1072 nucleotides. RefSeq lists it as uncharacterized. The record is from RefSeq and is a predicted model, not a curated record. NCBI's taxonomy places the organism in Eukaryota, Metazoa, Arthropoda, Malacostraca, Decapoda, Portunidae. The transcript is spliced from 2 exons.
GAGAGAGAGAGAGAGAAUCUGAACACCACUAUGGCAAUUUAAAUUACUCAUUCAAAACUUUUUCUUUGUUCCACAAGUGUGUGCCAGCAGCCUGGGUGUGAAUGCCAUUUAAACUUUUUUUUUUCAAGUCCAUAUCAAGAAACUGGUCUAAGGUCAAGCAAACAUCAAGAGCACAAACAAUAAGCAGCAGCAGCAGCAGGUGGCAUCAACUGCAUCAAGAAAGAACAUCAUCAUCAUCAUCAUCAUUGUCUAACACUUGAUAGCCACACAGUGGGGAGCUGACCUGCACUUCCUAACAAGGCUGACUUCACCACCUACUGCUGUGGUGAGUAAUACCUUGUUGGUCUGGAGCAGUGAGAAGCUGACCUGCACUUCCUAAGCAAGGCUGACUACAUCAUCAUGUUGUCUGGAGCAUUGACAAGCUGAUCUGCACUUCCUAGCAUGGCUGACUACACCAGAUACUACUGUGGUAAGUAGUAUCUGCUGUCUGGAGCACUGGGAACCUGAGGUGAUUAUCUUGUUGCCUGGAGCAUUGACAAGGUGAUCUCCACUUCCUAGUAAUGCUGACUACACCACUUACUACAGUGAGGUGACUAAUACCUUGUGUCCUGGACCACUGAGAGGCUGACCUGCACCCAGCCCUAAGAGACAAUAAAUCCACACCAGUGUGCCAGCAGUGAACCCCCGACAGGACAAUUGGGCACACAGCACUGACCUAGCCAGGCCAAGGUCAGUUUUCAUCACACCUGCCUGUCCCACCACAGUGUCACCACCUGUGCUGCUCACCGGCCACAGGACCAGCAGUGCACACCCGCUGCUGCACACACAAGGCCCAGCAGUGCCAAACACAACACAGAAUGGCCAGAGUACAGAUAAUGCAGUACACUUGCUAGUUAUGUAUGAACAGGUGUCUUGUACACACACAACAAUGCCAAGUGUUCACCGCCAGGCAGGAAGUUCCCUAAAUAGGGCGAGACAUCUAAAUAUAGAUAGAAACUACCUUGCUUUCUUGAUAUCAUGCUGGGGUCUUGCACUUGUAUGUACUUAACAGAAUUAUAAGUAUCCAAGCAAU